GAUUUCAUUAUCAUCAAUCUGAAAAACUGAAAAACUGUGGAGUGUGCUCUGGAAGAUAUCAGAAAUGACCGAAUCAAUGGGGGUUGAGGUAAAAGGUCCCGACCCCAAACGCGGUUACUUCCAUGAGAUGAUGUGAUUUUUCUUCGUUUACUCUAUUUUUUAAUCCAAGUCAAGCAAGAUCAUACCGUCAAACGUGUUUUCAACUUUUUCCUUCCAUGAGAUGAACGAAUUCAUCGUUUUACUGAACGUGGACUCACAUCCUUGUUGAUCUGGAAUUCCCUCUCUCAACUUCAUCCCUAAUCUCUUCCAUGCUUGGUUUGGGGUCUCAACUUAUUCUGUGAUUUGGGGUCUCUAUAGGUUGAGCUUGCUUUGGAUUCAAAGAAUGAGCCAUGGCUUUGUGUCUCUCAACGCUGAUGUGCCUAUAUAUAUAUAUUUUUGGCAGGGUUGACAUAGUCACAAGUUGAUUCUGAUGUUGUUGAUCCAUCUUUUGAGCCACUAAUAUUAGUAGAAGAUUCCACUAUAUAGCUUGUAAGAUCAACCAUCCGGUUCUCGAGGUUGUCUUCUGCACUUGUUGAAGCUGUUAGCUCUCCCUCACUUGGAAGGUUCCUCGACUAGAUUUUUGGUCCAAUCCUUUCAACUUUUUGCUUGGAGUUAAC
Molecule: non-coding RNA, 656 nt
Organism: Arachis ipaensis
Lineage: Eukaryota; Viridiplantae; Streptophyta; Magnoliopsida; Fabales; Fabaceae
Source: RefSeq, a predicted model, not a curated record